UACCCUAAAGUAACCUAUGACAACAAAAGCAGAAAGAGAACGAAAAAAAAGAAAAUAACGAUACGACCAAAUCCAAUGAGUUUGAUGGUCCGUCGACGAAAUUUGAGGGGAUUUUCGGAGGUGGUGGUAUUUUUCGAAACUUGCGCCGUCGAUGAUUAAUUUCGGUAUAGCGUAGCGGAAAAGAGAAGAGGGAGGUUUGCGCCAUGACUGGUUCUCUGUUUCUGAUCUCUUUUUAUUUUAUUUUUUACUUUUUUUUGUGUUGGUGCGUGUAUUUGUUAAUCUACUGUAAUCAUGGAAAAAUAUGAAGAAGAAAACUGUAUGAGUGAUUGUGAAACUCUGUAAAUAUAUUUACUACG
RNAcentral lists this long non-coding RNA (356 nucleotides) under Capsicum annuum. Its description in RNAcentral is "long non-coding RNA (CANN_LNC012077)". Lineage: Eukaryota; Viridiplantae; Streptophyta; Magnoliopsida; Solanales; Solanaceae. The record is from RNAcentral.